CCUACGGGGUGCAGCAGUGGGGAAUAUUGGACAAUGGGCGAAAGCCUGAUCCAGCCACGCCGCGUGUGUGAAGAAGGCCUUCGGGUUGUAAAGCACUUUCAGUGGGGAAGAAAGCCUUGGGGCUAAUACCCUCGAGGAAGGACAUCACCCACAGAAGAAGCACCGGCUAACUCCGUGCCAGCAGCCGCGGUAAUACGGAGGGUGCGAGCGUUAAUCGGAAUUACUGGGCGUAAAGCGCGCGUAGGCGGUCUGAUAAGCCGGUUGUGAAAGCCCCGGGCUCAACCUGGGAACGGCAUCCGGAACUGUCAGGCUAGAGUGCAGGAGAGGAAGGUAGAAUUCCCGGUGUAGCGGUGAAAUGCGUAGAGAUCGGGAGGAAUACCAGUGGCGAAGGCGGCCUUCUGGACUGACACUGACGCUGAGGUGCGAAAGCGUGGGUAGCAAACAGGAUUAGAUACCCUAGUAGUC
RNAcentral lists this ribosomal RNA (465 nucleotides) under Vreelandella stevensii. Its description in RNAcentral is "partial 16S ribosomal RNA". It matches the Rfam family "Bacterial small subunit ribosomal RNA", at positions 338 to 795 of the family's 1533-position model. Lineage: Bacteria; Pseudomonadati; Pseudomonadota; Gammaproteobacteria; Oceanospirillales; Halomonadaceae. The record is from RNAcentral.